Molecule: non-coding RNA, 134 nt
Organism: Ciona savignyi (Pacific transparent sea squirt)
Lineage: Eukaryota; Metazoa; Chordata; Ascidiacea; Phlebobranchia; Cionidae
Source: Rfam
AAAAAAAGCCAGUGGGUCCAGGGCGAGGCUUUGCCAUUGCACAUCGGCUUAGCUGACCCUUGCGAUUACCCCAAAUGUGGGUAACUCGGUCGUAUAAUUUCUGGUAGUGGGGACUGCGUUCGCGCUAUCCCCGU